This 468-nucleotide ribosomal RNA is filed under the name uncultured bacterium. Its description in RNAcentral is "partial 16S ribosomal RNA". It matches the Rfam family "Bacterial small subunit ribosomal RNA", at positions 28 to 507 of the family's 1533-position model. The record is from RNAcentral.
GACGAACGCUGGCGGCGUGCUUAACACAUGCAAGUCGAACGGAAAGGCCCUGCUUUUGUGGGGUGCUCGAGUGGCGAACGGGUAAGUAACACGUGAGUAACCUGCCCUUGACUUUGGGGUAACUUCAGGACACUGGGGCUAAUACCGGCUAGGAGCUCCUGCUGCAUGGUGGGGGUUGGAAAGUUUCGGCGGUUGGGGAUGGACUCGCGGCUUAUCAGCUUGUUGGUGGGGUAGUGGCUUACCAAGGCUUGGACGGGUAGCAGGCCUGGGAGGGUGACCGGCCACAUUGGGACUGAGAUACGGCCCAGACUCCUACGGGAGGCAGCAGUGGGGAAUAGUGCACAAUGGGCGGAAGCCUGAUGCAGCAACGCCGCGUGCGGGAUGACGGCCUUCGGGUUGUAAACCGCUUUCGCCUGUGACGAAGCGUGAGUGACGGUAAUGGGUAAAGAAGCACCGGCUAACUACGUG